AUGAACGCUGGCGGCGUGCCUAAUACAUGCAAGUCGAGCGAACAGAUAAGGAGCUUGCUCCUUUGACGUUAGCGGCGGACGGGUGAGUAACACGUGGGUAACCUACCUAUAAGACUGGAAUAACUCCGGGAAACCGGGGCUAAUGCCGGAUAAUAUUUAGAACCGCAUGGUUCUAAAGUGAAAGAUGGUUUUACUAUCACUUAUAGAUGGACCCGCGCCGUAUUAGCUAGUUGGUGGGGUAAUGGCUUACCAAGGCAACGAUACGUAGCCGACCUGAGAGGGUGAUCGGCCACACUGGAACUGAGACACGGUCCAG
RNAcentral lists this ribosomal RNA (316 nucleotides) under uncultured Staphylococcus sp. Its description in RNAcentral is "bacterial SSU rRNA". It matches the Rfam family "Bacterial small subunit ribosomal RNA", at positions 29 to 334 of the family's 1533-position model. Lineage: Bacteria; Bacillati; Bacillota; Bacilli; Caryophanales; Staphylococcaceae. The record is from RNAcentral.